Molecule: ribosomal RNA, 750 nt
Filed under: uncultured bacterium
Lineage: Bacteria
Description: bacterial SSU rRNA
Rfam family: Bacterial small subunit ribosomal RNA
Source: RNAcentral
CAGGCCUAACACAUGCAAGUCGAGCGCUCAGGGGUGUUCCCUUACGGGAAACCCCCUGGAGCGGCGGACGGGUGAGUAACACGUAGGCAACCUGCCUGUAAGAUCGGGAUAACUACCGGAAACGGUAGCUAAGACCGGAUAGCUGGUUUCUCCGCAUGGGGGAAUCAUGAAACACGGGGCAACCUGUGGCUUACGGAUGGGCCUGCGGCGCAUUAGCUAGUUGGUGGGGUAAUGGCCCACCAAGGCGACGAUGCGUAGCCGACCUGAGAGGGUGAUCGGCCACACUGGGACUGAGACACGGCCCAGACUCCUACGGGAGGCAGCAGUAGGGAAUCUUCCGCAAUGGGCGCAAGCCUGACGGAGUAACGCCGCGUGAGUGAUGAAGGUUUUCGGAUCGUAAAGCUCUGUUGCCAAGGAAGAACGCCUCGGAGAGUAACUGCUCUGAGGGUGACGGUACUUGAGAAGAAAGCCCCGGCUAACUACGUGCCAGCAGCCGCGGUAAUACGUAGGGGGCAAGCGUUGUCCGGAAUUAUUGGGCGUAAAGCGCGCGCAGGCGGUCUUUUAAGUUUGGUGUUUAAGCCCGGGGCUCAACCCCGGUUCGCACUGAAAACUGGGAGACCUGAGUGCAGGAGAGGAAAGCGGAAUUCCACGUGUAGCGGUGAAAUGCGUAGAGAUGUGGAGGAACACCAGUGGCGAAGGCGGCUUUCUGGACUGUAACUGACGCUGAGGCGCGAAAGCGUGGGGAGCAAA